RNAcentral lists this ribosomal RNA (285 nucleotides) under uncultured soil bacterium. RNAcentral describes it as "partial 16S ribosomal RNA". It matches the Rfam family "Bacterial small subunit ribosomal RNA", at positions 27 to 337 of the family's 1533-position model. The record is from RNAcentral.
GGAACGAACGCUGGCGGCAUGCCUAAUACAUGCAAGUCGAACGAACUCUUCGGAGUUAGUGGCGCACGGGUGCGUAACGCGUGGGAAUCUGCCCUUGGGUUCGGAAUAACAGUUGGAAACGACUGCUAAUACCGGAUGACUGACGAAAGUCCGAAGAUUUAUCGCCCAGGGAUGAGCCCGCGUAGGAUUAGCUAGUUGGUGAGGUAAAGGCUCACCAAGGCGACGAUCCUUAGCUGGUCUGAGAGGAUGAUCAGCCACACGUGGGACUGAGACACGGCCCAGACU